ACCCUUGUAGCUCAACGGAAAGAGUACGGCGCUACGAACGCCGGGGUCCAGGUUCGAUUCCUGGCAGGGGUACC
RNAcentral lists this transfer RNA (74 nucleotides) under Amycolatopsis oliviviridis. RNAcentral describes it as "tRNA-Arg". It matches the Rfam family "tRNA". Rfam says of the family: Transfer RNA (tRNA) molecules are approximately 80 nucleotides in length. Their secondary structure includes four short double-helical elements and three loops (D, anti-codon, and T loops). The record is from RNAcentral. Lineage: Bacteria; Bacillati; Actinomycetota; Actinomycetes; Pseudonocardiales; Pseudonocardiaceae.